CAGCAGCCGCCGCGGUAAUACGGAGGGUGCAAGCGUUAAUCGGAAUUACUGGGCGUAAAGCGCACGCAGGCGGUUUGUUAAGUCAGGUGUGAAAUCCCCGAGCUUAACUUGGGAACUGCAUUUGAAACUGGCAAGCUAGAGUCUUGUAGAGGGGGGUAGAAUUCCAGGUGUAGCGGUGAAAUGCGUAGAGAUCUGGAGGAAUACCGGUGGCGAAGGCGGCCCCCUGGACAAAGACUGACGCUCAGGUGCGAAAGCGUGGGGAGCAAACAGGAUUAGAUACCCCAGUGUCCCUGUCUCUUAUACA
This 304-nucleotide ribosomal RNA is filed under the name uncultured bacterium. RNAcentral's name for it is "partial 16S ribosomal RNA". It matches the Rfam family "Bacterial small subunit ribosomal RNA", at positions 506 to 808 of the family's 1533-position model. The record is from RNAcentral.